This is a small nucleolar RNA of 197 nucleotides. Its record names the gene SNORA74. It matches the Rfam family "Small nucleolar RNA SNORA74". Rfam says of the family: U19 belongs to the H/ACA class of snoRNAs. snoRNAs bind a number of proteins (including dyskerin, Gar1p and Nop10p in the case of the H/ACA class) to form snoRNP complexes. This class are thought to guide the sites of modification of uridines to pseudouridines by forming direct base pairing interactions with substrate RNAs. The record is from Ensembl.
UCCAGCACUCAGUCAGCUGACCAGGUGACGCGUCUUGUCUCAGUGUUACAGUGCUGGUAGAGGAAGUCUCUGUACCGGCUCUCGGCUUUUGCGGGUUCUGUUUUAGAGUCCGCUGCUUCUGAGCCUUUGCAGAGCAUGGCCCACCGAGAGUGGCCGGUCCUGAUCCUACAGGACAGGCCUAGGAACGGCCGCACAUU